GACGAACCGUGCGAACGUUGUUCGGAAUCACUGGGCUUAAAGGGCGCGUAGGCGGUCGGGCCAGUCCGGGGUGAAAUCCUGCAGCUCAACUGUAGAAGUGCCUUGGAUACUGCCCGGCUCGAGGGAGGUAGGGGUCUGUGGAACUUCUGGUGGAGCGGUGAAAUGCGUUGAUAUCAGAAGGAACGCCGGUGGCGAAAGCGACAGACUGGACCUUUUCUAACGCUGAGGCGCGAAAGCUAGGGGAGCAAACGGG
This 253-nucleotide ribosomal RNA is filed under the name uncultured bacterium. RNAcentral describes it as "partial 16S ribosomal RNA". It matches the Rfam family "Bacterial small subunit ribosomal RNA", at positions 524 to 776 of the family's 1533-position model. The record is from RNAcentral.